GGGGCUGUAGCUCAGUGGCAGAGCCUCUGCUUUGCAUGCAGAAGGUCCCAGGUUCGAGCCCUGGCAGCAUCU
Molecule: non-coding RNA, 72 nt
Organism: Hemicordylus capensis (graceful crag lizard)
Lineage: Eukaryota; Metazoa; Chordata; Lepidosauria; Squamata; Cordylidae
Source: the annotation of a RefSeq genome assembly